This 441-nucleotide ribosomal RNA is filed under the name uncultured bacterium. RNAcentral describes it as "bacterial SSU rRNA". It matches the Rfam family "Bacterial small subunit ribosomal RNA", at positions 339 to 797 of the family's 1533-position model. The record is from RNAcentral.
UUACGGGAGGCAGCAGUGGGGAAUCUUAGACAAUGGGCGCAAGCCUGAUCUAGCCAUGCCGCGUGAGCGAUGAAGGCCUUAGGGUUGUAAAGCUCUUUCGUGGGGGAAGAUAAUGACGGUACCCCAAGAAGAAGCCCCGGCUAACUCCGUGCCAGCAGCCGCGGUAAUACGGAGGGGGCUAGCGUUGUUCGGAAUUACUGGGCGUAAAGCGCACGUAGGCGGACUGGAAAGUCAGAGGUGAAAUCCCAGGGCUCAACCUUGGAACUGCCUUUGAAACUCCCAGUCUUGAGGUCGAGAGAGGUGAGUGGAAUUCCGAGUGUAGAGGUGAAAUUCGUAGAUAUUCGGAGGAACACCAGUGGCGAAGGCGGCUCACUGGCUCGAUACUGACGCUGAGGUGCGAAAGCGUGGGGAGCAAACAGGAUUAGAAACCCGGGUAGUCCU